AUGUUAGUUUGUGACUGCUCUGGCCAUUUUUUUUUUUUUUUUUUUUUUUUCUUUGGGGAUUUUAGGAAAUUGCUAGGCUGUUGCUUGGAUCUGCAUCUCGGAACACUGGCCCCGGACUCCUGGCUGCCUCCGCCUGCGCCUGGUGGCGUGGCCGGCAUCACACUCCUGGGGGUGUCCUUCCUGGAGGAGGAGAGCAGUGUGGUGAGUGUGGGCGGGAUGUGGGUUUCCCUGUGGAGCAGGGGCUCCGGACUCGGGGGGCCCACUGCGCUGCGGCGAGGGGCAGGGAGGAAGGCGUGGGGCUGUGUUGGCCCUCAGACUGGGCAGGGCUGUGGGGUUUUGGAUGGAUUGGACGUGGGGGCACGAGUGUGUGUCCGGAGCAUCUGUGGGUGUGCCGAGCUCCCAGGGAAGGGGCACAGGGCGCGUGCGGCCAGUGGUGGCGAGCUCUGUCCUGGCUGCCCCCACCUGGGAGCUGUCACGGCAGGUGGUGGGUGUGGGGUUGCAGCCCAGGGGUUCGGUGGUAGAGCUUUCUCUUUGAGUCUCAUCAGCCCGGAUGUGGCAUUUAAGCCAGAGGACCAGGGACACCUGUGGGGAGGUAGAAGGCACGUGUGGUCUGAGGCCUGGCCUUGCCAGCAGCAGGGGCAAGAGGGAGCAGAGGAGACGGCGGGGAACUUCCAGGGAGGACAGCGUCAGAGAGCAGAUGCCUGGGAGGCCAGAGGUGUGCCAGGCGGAGCAGAGGCCACUUGUUCCAGAAUCUUUGCUCAAAACCACAACUCAUGUGGGAUCCAGCCUGGGGGUCACAGGCCCCGUGACCACUGUGCCUUAAACUCACCUGCUCUGAGAAACUCGAGGCACGUUUCUAACUCCAGAAGGCACCCGAUGGGCUUGAAGACGCAGGGAGCCGACGUGAAGCGUUUGUCAACGCCAAGGGCCUGGCUGGUGGGCAGUCGGCACCAAGGCUGGCCCUGGACACAAUGUGCCCGUUUGGAGAGCUGGAAACCGUUUCUGCAGUUCCAAGGCCCUGCUGUGCCAGCCAGCUGGGGCCUCAGGGCUGUGCGCUCAGCCGCACAGGCACGGAGGCUUCAGGUCGGCCGGCAGGACGCCCCCACGUCAGUGUGA
This 1116-nucleotide long non-coding RNA is filed under the name Sus scrofa (pig). Its description in RNAcentral is "lncRNA (ENSSSCG00070013686.1)". The record is from RNAcentral. Lineage: Eukaryota; Metazoa; Chordata; Mammalia; Artiodactyla; Suidae.